This 315-nucleotide long non-coding RNA is filed under the name Nicotiana tabacum (common tobacco). RNAcentral describes it as "long non-coding RNA (NTAB_LNC015763)". The record is from RNAcentral. Lineage: Eukaryota; Viridiplantae; Streptophyta; Magnoliopsida; Solanales; Solanaceae.
ACCCUAAACUGAACUUUUCCCUUUAAUCAGGAUUAGGGUUUUAAACCCUAAACUGAACUUUUUCCCUUUAGUCAGCAUUAGGGUUUUAAACCCUAAACUGAACUUUUCUUUUAGUCAGCAUUAGGGUUUUAAACCCUAAACUGAACUUUUCCUUUAGUCAGCAUUAGGGUUUCAAACCCUAAACUGAAUUUUUCCAGAAUCAGCAUUAGGGUUUUAAACCCUAAACUGAACUUUUCCCUUUAGUCAGCAUUAGGGUUUUAAACCCUAAAUUAAACUUUCCCAUUCAGUCGGAAUUAGGGUUUUAAACCCUAAACU